Molecule: transfer RNA, 81 nt
Filed under: Candidatus Berkelbacteria bacterium
Lineage: Bacteria; Candidatus Berkelbacteria
Description: tRNA-Asp
Rfam family: tRNA
About the family: Transfer RNA (tRNA) molecules are approximately 80 nucleotides in length. Their secondary structure includes four short double-helical elements and three loops (D, anti-codon, and T loops).
Source: RNAcentral
GGGCGCGUGGUGUAGUUUGGUCUAACACAUCUCCCUGUCACGGAGAAGAUCGUCCCGAUUCAAUCGGGAUCCGUCCCGCCA